UACGUAGGGUGCAAGCGUUGUCCGGAAUUAUUGGGCGUAAAGAGCUCGUAGGCGGUUUGUCGCGUCGGAUGUGAAAGCCCGGGGCUUAACCCCGGGUCUGCAUUCGAUACGGGCAGACUGGAGUGUGGUAGGGGAGAUCGGAAUUCCUGGUGUAGCGGUGAAAUGCGCAGAUAUCAGGAGGAACACCGGUGGCGAAGGCGGGUCUCUGGGCCGUAACUGACGCUGAGGAGCGAAAGCAUGGGGAGCGAACAGG
This 253-nucleotide ribosomal RNA is filed under the name uncultured bacterium. RNAcentral describes it as "partial 16S ribosomal RNA". It matches the Rfam family "Bacterial small subunit ribosomal RNA", at positions 524 to 776 of the family's 1533-position model. The record is from RNAcentral.